AUGUGCUUAAUGAUAUGCUCCAAAAUCCUCAGCUACUUUCCCACUUCCACAUAUGACCUAAACCCUAAGUCAAACUCGGUCCUACCGAUUCUUCCUAUCCGGCGCCACCGAGUUUCACUUGUCAUAAGCCACUGCCAAACCCUAAUCAUUUCGGUCUCACCGAUGGGAUCUCGGUCUCACCGAGAUGGGCUUGCAAACUCUCUGUUACCCAUUGCAAUAUUCUCGGUCCCACCGAGAUAUGCAAUCGGUUCCACCGAGUUUGCUUGGCCAAAUCUCAGUUUCACUUAUUACCCAAAUCGGUCCCACCGAGUUUGA
Molecule: ribosomal RNA, 315 nt
Filed under: Triticum aestivum (bread wheat)
Lineage: Eukaryota; Viridiplantae; Streptophyta; Magnoliopsida; Poales; Poaceae
Description: partial small subunit ribosomal RNA
Source: RNAcentral